AUGCAUGUCUGGUUGAGUAGCAAGCACUGUGGCUGAAAUUUGAAAUCCAGGCUUAAAUGUGCCUCAUUCAUACUGGCAUAACUACUAUUAAAGUUAAGAAGAAUAUAAAUGGAGAAAUCAACUUAAACAAAGGUCAGACAAGAAGAGUGAGUAGUUGCUGAUGCCUGAAAAUAUUUUUGCAAAAGAGAAGAGGAUCUCUUAUGCUACAAUCAUUUCCAGUCUACUGCAAAAAUUUAUGCAAACAAUAUUCAUCACAUGCCGGAAGAAAAGAAGUGAUGUAGUCCUGAUAACAAGGUAUAUGUAACUGAAGACAUCAUCCACAAUCUUACUCUCUGCUCCAAUGUUUGGGAUUAUAAUAAAGAACAUACAUUGGCCCUUGGUGUAGCAUAUAACCCUGAACUUCAAUUUUCUUUCCCUCAGCUCAGGAAAACUGUCACUGCUUUUCUCUUGUCCUCUAAUUCAGUACCACAGAUCAGCAACUACUCUGAGGAAGAAAGCAAUUAAAGAGGAAUUCAGUGCCAAGCCAUGAGUACACGCAGCCCUGUGAAAAGAUCAAGUAGUGAGAAACUGAGUCCUUCUACCAAUAGUCAGUGAGAAAUUGAGGUAUCCUGUCAACAGUCACAUGAGUGAGUCAUUUUGAAAUGGAUUUUCCAUCGCCAGUCAAGCCUAUGGAUGACUGAAGUCUGAGCUUAUAGCAUGACUGCAAACUCUUGAGACUCAAAGCCAUAAUCAUUCAGUUAAGCUGCUUCUGCAUUCUUGACCGUCAACCACUG
Molecule: long non-coding RNA, 773 nt
Filed under: Homo sapiens (human)
Lineage: Eukaryota; Metazoa; Chordata; Mammalia; Primates; Hominidae
Description: HSALNT0362336
Source: RNAcentral